This 190-nucleotide ribosomal RNA is filed under the name Peptostreptococcus russellii. Its description in RNAcentral is "partial 23S ribosomal RNA". It matches the Rfam family "Bacterial large subunit ribosomal RNA", at positions 2735 to 2925 of the family's 2925-position model. The record is from RNAcentral. Lineage: Bacteria; Bacillati; Bacillota; Clostridia; Peptostreptococcales; Peptostreptococcaceae.
GCAUAGCUGGGUAGCUAUGUAUGGAAAGAAUAAGCGCUGAAAGCAUCUAAGCGCGAAGUCCACUUCAAGAUAAGAUUUCCCACCGUAAGGUUAAGAUCCCAGGAAGACUACCUGGUUGAUAGGUCAAAGGUGUAAGUGCAGUAAUGUAUGUAGCUUAUUGAUACUAAUAGAUCGAGGACUUGACCAAUAA